UGCACAACAAUUCCAAAUGAUGCUGCUCCACUUCAUCUGGAUGAUGACAGUCAGCUUUCAAACUGGAUCCUCUGAGGAUUUAGUCAAACCCUUUAGAGAUCGAAUACUUGUUUUGGAAGGAGACAGUGGGACUCUGUCCUGCAGCUAUUCUGGUUCUGUCUACAGUGUCUUCUGGUACCGACAGAACCUCAGAUCAUCUCCAGAACUUCUCAUCACAGAGUUUUCAGUCAUAACAGGGUUGACUUUGAAACAUGAAAAAGACAGAAAAGAGUUUCAUUUGGAGAUCAGCAGGACUGCAGUGACAGACUCUGCUGUGUACUACUGUGCUGUGAAGCCCACAGUGACACAAAACACUCAGUCUGUGGACAAAAACCUCACUCAGUGACAAACAGUGCCACCAAGU
This is a non-coding RNA of Thalassophryne amazonica, 403 nucleotides long. The record is from the annotation of a RefSeq genome assembly. Lineage: Eukaryota; Metazoa; Chordata; Actinopteri; Batrachoidiformes; Batrachoididae.